RNAcentral lists this long non-coding RNA (413 nucleotides) under Pan troglodytes (chimpanzee). RNAcentral's name for it is "lincRNA". Lineage: Eukaryota; Metazoa; Chordata; Mammalia; Primates; Hominidae. The record is from RNAcentral.
GCAUUAGACAGAAAGCUGGAAGUUGAAAUGGUGGAGUCCAACUUGCCUGGACCAGCUUAAUGGUUCUGCUCCUGGUAACGUUUUUAUCCAUGGAUGACUUGCUUGGGUAUGGAGAGUCGGCUUGACUACACUGUGUGGAGCAACUUUUAAAGAAGCAAAGGACUCAGAAUUCAUGAUUGAAGAAAUGCAGGGUUUUUAACGACCACAACAAGCAAGCAUGCAGCUUACUGCUUGAAAGGGUCUUGCCUCACCCAAGCUGGAGUGCAGUGGCCUUUGAAGCUUACUACAGCCUCAAACUUCUGGGCUCAAGUGAUCCUCAGCCUCCCAGUGGUCUUUGUAGACUGCCUGAUGGAGUCUCAUGGCACAAGAAGAUUAAAACAAUGUCUCCAAUUUUAAUAAAUUUUUGCAAUCCA